GGGGUUGUUUAGUUUCGACAGGUUGUUCAUUAAAAAUUUGCAAGCCGAUCACUGUGGUCAAAUCGAAAAACUGCCACAAAGAUACAUAAUUGCAAACAUCGUAUCAAAAGUAAAAGGAGCAUUUGCGCAAGCAUUUUCAACUUCUUUUGCAACAGCUUUGGCCUAAUAUUGUGCCGGAGCCAUCGAAUUGCUGAUUUCUCAUAAGCAAACCUCGGUGUCAACUAUGGGAAUAGCAUUAAUUAUUUUCUCUACAUAAUUUUUGCGACAAUUGCGCUAGAGACAAAUUAACUGGAUUUUGUAUGUUUUUCACUUGUUAAUUUCGUACAAAUAAACAUUCUAAGCUUGUAGAAAAUUUUUAAUAUAUAAUUCUGGACAUGGGUGCAAUUCCCAUCAACUCCACCG
RNAcentral lists this transfer-messenger RNA (402 nucleotides) under Candidatus Moraniibacteriota bacterium. It matches the Rfam family "transfer-messenger RNA". From Rfam's summary of the family: Bacterial tmRNA, also known as 10Sa RNA or SsrA, is named for its dual tRNA and mRNA-like properties. The record is from RNAcentral. RNAcentral also lists the same sequence under 1 other name. Lineage: Bacteria; Candidatus Moraniibacteriota.